RNAcentral lists this microRNA precursor (85 nucleotides) under Bombyx mori (domestic silkworm). RNAcentral describes it as "mir-2807 microRNA precursor family". It matches the Rfam family "mir-2807 microRNA precursor family". The record is from Rfam by way of RNAcentral. Lineage: Eukaryota; Metazoa; Arthropoda; Insecta; Lepidoptera; Bombycidae.
UUAAUUCAAAUUUGUAUAGAGUCGGAACAGCGUCUCUUCGGUUGCCGCUAGGGAAGCUUUUGCAACUCCAUACAAAUUUGAGUUA